This is a long non-coding RNA of Tupaia belangeri chinensis (Chinese tree shrew), 324 nucleotides long. RefSeq lists it as uncharacterized. Lineage: Eukaryota; Metazoa; Chordata; Mammalia; Scandentia; Tupaiidae. The transcript has 2 exons. The record is from RefSeq and is a predicted model, not a curated record.
GUUUGGAAGAUGCGGGUGACAGCUGCACAACAUCGUGGAUGUACAAAACGCACCUGAACGGUACACUGUAAAAUGGAUAAAAGGGCCAAAAGUCCACAGAGGCAGUCCUGAGGCUGCCAAUCACGAAGCCCCACCCACCACGCUGGUGAUUGGUCCUCCGGGGAGUGGUUUGAACAGCUGGUACGGGGAGCCACCCCCACGCUCGCUCGGAUUGGGUGACCAGCCAGCACUUACCGAGGCGGGGCAUCGGACCAGCAGCUCAACUACCAGGCGGAAGGGCCAGCCUGGGGCUUUCAAGCGACCCCUUGGGAGCCAGGAUUUGUC